This 639-nucleotide ribosomal RNA is filed under the name uncultured bacterium. Its description in RNAcentral is "bacterial SSU rRNA". It matches the Rfam family "Bacterial small subunit ribosomal RNA", at positions 232 to 885 of the family's 1533-position model. The record is from RNAcentral.
CGCGGCCUAUCAGCUUGUUGGUGAGGUAACGGCUCACCAAGGCAUCGACGGGUAGCUGGUCUGAGAGGACGGUCAGCCACACUGGGACUGAGACACGGCCCAGACUCCUACGGGAGGCAGCAGUGGGGAAUCUUGCGCAAUGGGCGAAAGCCUGACGCAGCCACGCCGCGUGAGGGAUGAAGGCUUUCGGGUUGUAAACCUCUUUCAGCAGGGACGAAAAUGACGGUACCUGCAGAAGAAGCUCCGGCCAACUACGUGCCAGCAGCCGCGGUAACACGUAGGGAGCAAGCGUUGUCCGGAUUUAUUGGGCGUAAAGAGCUCGUAGGCGGUUCAGUAAGUCAGGUGUGAAAGUCCAAGGCUCAACCUUGGAACGCCACUUGAUACUGCUGUGACUAGAGUCCGGUAGAGGAGUGUGGAAUUCCUGGUGUAGCGGUGAAAUGCGCAGAUAUCAGGAGGAACACCGACGGCGAAGGCAGCACUCUGGGCCGGUACUGACGCUGAGGAGCGAAAGCAUGGGGAGCGAACAGGAUUAGAUACCCUGGUAGUCCAUGCCGUAAACGUUGGGCACUAGGUGUGGGGCCUUAUCAACGGGUUCCGUGCCGUAGCUAACGCAUUAAGUGCCCCGCCUGGGGAGUACGG